AUUGAACGCUGGCGGCAUGCCUUACACAUGCAAGUCGAACGGCAGCACGGGAGCAAUCCUGGUGGCGAGUGGCGAACGGGUGAGUAAAGUAUCGGAACGUGCCCAGUCGUGGGGGAUAACGUAGCGAAAGUUACGCUACUACCGCAUACGAUCUAUGGAUGAAAGCGGGGGAUCGCAAGACCUCGCGCGAUUGGAGCGGCCGAUAUCAGAUUAGGUAGUUGGUGGGGUAAAGGCUCACCAAGCCGACGAACUGUAGCUGGUCUGAGAGGACGACCAGCCACACUGGGACUGAGACACGGCCCAGACUCCUACGGGAGGCAGCAGUGGGGAAUUUUGGACAAUGGGCGCAAGCCUGAUCCAGCCAUGCCGCGUGCAGGAUGAAGGCCUUCGGGUUGUAAACUGCUUUUGUACGGAACGAAAAGGUUUGACUUAAUACGUUGGACUCAUGACGGUACCGUAAGAAUAAGCACCGGCUAACUACGUGCCAGCAGCCGCAGUAA
RNAcentral lists this ribosomal RNA (500 nucleotides) under uncultured bacterium. RNAcentral's name for it is "partial 16S ribosomal RNA". It matches the Rfam family "Bacterial small subunit ribosomal RNA", at positions 30 to 523 of the family's 1533-position model. The record is from RNAcentral.